This 465-nucleotide ribosomal RNA is filed under the name uncultured bacterium. RNAcentral's name for it is "partial 16S ribosomal RNA". It matches the Rfam family "Bacterial small subunit ribosomal RNA", at positions 338 to 795 of the family's 1533-position model. The record is from RNAcentral.
CCUACGGGUGGCAGCAGUAGGGAAUCUUCCACAAUGGGCGAAAGCCUGAUGGAGCAACGCCGCGUGGGUGAAGAAGGUCUUCGGAUCGUAAAACCCUUUUGUUAGAGAAGAAAGUGCGUGAGAGUAACUGUUCACGAUUCGACGGUAACUAACCAGAAAGCCUCGGCUCACUACGUGCCAGGAGCCGCGGCAAUGCGUAGGUGGCAAGCGUUAGUCGGUUUUAUUGGGCGUGUAGGGAGCGCAGGCGGUCUUUUAAGUCUGAUGUGAAAGCCUUCGGCUUAACCGGAGUAGUGCAUUGGAAACUGGGAGACUUGAGUGGAAGAGAGGAGUGGGGAACUCGAGGUGUAGCGGUGAAAUGCGUAGAUAUAGGGAAGAACACCAGUGGCGAAGGCGGCUUUCUGGUCUGUAACUGACGCUGAGGUUCGAAAGCGUGGGUAGCGAACAGGAUUAGAUACCCUGGUAGUC